UGCGCGGGGGGGGGCUUGCAGAAGCCCAAGCAUUAACGCUCCUCCGUGUCCUCCGCAGGGGGAAACGGGACCUUUGGGACCACCGGGGCUCCCAGGGCUGCCCGGAGACCCCGGAGAGCAGGGCCCCGCGGGACGGCCGGGGCUGCCAGGAGCCGAUGGGAUCCGCGGCCCCGCCGGGACCAUGAUCAUGCUGCCGGUAGGGACUGGGACGUGGGGCUGGGGGGGGGCAGCUGGCCUCACCCCCCCCUGCCCUCACCCCACUCCUCUCCCAGUUCCAGUUUGGGGGAGACUCCCUCAAGGGCCCCACCGUCUCCUUCCAAGAAGCCCAAGCCCAGGCGAUCCUGCAGCAGGCGAAGGUCAGGACCCCCGCGCCCACCCCCAGCGGCUCAGCCUCCCCCCCCCUCCCGCCUCACCCCUCUCCUCCUUUCCCUCCCCAGCUUGCCAUGAAGGGCCCCCCCGGCCCCAUGGGGCUCACCGGCCGCCCGGGUCCGCUGGGUCUGCCAGGACACCCGGGCCUGAAAGGGGACGCAGGGGACAUGGGGCCGCGGGGUCCCCGGGGACUGCAGGGACCCCCGGGACCACCGGGGAAGCUGGGCAGACGGGGUCGCGCUGGAGCAGACGGUGCCAGGGGACUCCCGGGGGACACCGGACCCAAGGUGCUUGGGGUGCCAGGAUGCCCACGGCCCCCUUUUUUUUUUUGGGGAGGGGGCCGUGGGCUCAUCUUGUGCCCCACAGGGUGACCGGGGCUUCGAUGGUUUGCCGGGGCUACCGGGGGAGAAAGGGCCACAGGGUAAGUGCCACCGCGCCGCGUCCCCUCCUGCCACCACCCGUCCCCGUGUCCCCUCACCUCCUCUCCGUCCCCUAG
Molecule: long non-coding RNA, 865 nt
Filed under: Anas platyrhynchos (mallard)
Lineage: Eukaryota; Metazoa; Chordata; Aves; Anseriformes; Anatidae
Description: lncRNA (ENSAPLG00020014782.1)
Source: RNAcentral